This is a long non-coding RNA of Dalotia coriaria, 513 nucleotides long. RefSeq lists it as uncharacterized. The record is from RefSeq and is a predicted model, not a curated record. The transcript is spliced from 3 exons. Lineage: Eukaryota; Metazoa; Arthropoda; Insecta; Coleoptera; Staphylinidae.
GCUCUACGCGCUCGCAUCGACUAAGAAGUGUGUUCAAUCGUGACAAAUAAGCAUAUAAAAGAAAUAUCACACAUUUAACAACAGUUCUACAUUUGUUUUAAUAAUUUCGUACAUCAUUGAAGUGUUUCUGACGGAUGUUAAUUUGAGUGUUUUCAAGCAGUCGUUUUCACUCCAGCUUCGAAUUUAAUUUCCAUCCGUAAUGGCCGACUUCAAUUGAAGCGCAUGGCAACGCAGCAAAUCAAACGGAAUUAUGUUCGAGUGCACCCUUUGACGUCGUCGUAUGUCGCGUGCAUCCACUUUUCCUUAUCAUUGUAAGUGUUCACGUGUUCACGUGAGCGUGUACACGCGUGCAUAUUAUCAUCAACUUUGGUUAAAUAUGUACGUACGUCAAAGUGUGUCUUGUGUCGUGCACUUUACUUGAAAGCUUGCAAUAUAAUAAUAAUAUCCUUUGCGAUAUUAUUCUAAACUUGUUUAUAAUGAUAUUAAAAGUUGAGACAUUAAUGCAGAAAUGAA